CCUACGGGUGGCUGCAGUGAGGAAUAUUGGUCAAUGGACGAGAGUCUGAACCAGCCAAGUAGCGUGAAGGAUGACUGCCCUAUGGGUUGUAAACUUCUUUUAUAUGGGAAUAAAAUGUUCCACGUGUGGGAUUUUGUAUGUACCAUAUGAAUAAGGAUCGGCUAACUCCGUGCCAGCAGCCGCGGUAAUACGGAGGAUCCGAGCGUUAUCCGGAUUUAUUGGGUUUAAAGGGAGCGUAGGGGGAUUGUUAAGUCAGUUGUGAAAGUUUGCGGCUCAACCGUAAAAUUGCAGUUGAAACUGGCAGUCUUGAGUACAGUAGAGGUGGGCGGAAUUCGUGGUGGAGCGGUGAAAUGCUUAGAUAUCACGAAGAACUCCGAUUGCGAAGGCAGUUCACUGGACUGCAACUGACACUGAGGCUCGAAAGUGUGGGUAUCAAACAGGAUUAGAUACCCUAGUAGUC
This 460-nucleotide ribosomal RNA is filed under the name uncultured bacterium. RNAcentral's name for it is "partial 16S ribosomal RNA". It matches the Rfam family "Bacterial small subunit ribosomal RNA", at positions 338 to 795 of the family's 1533-position model. The record is from RNAcentral.